UGAGUAAUGUCUGGGAAACUGCCUGAUGGAGGGGGAUAACUACUGGAAACGGUAGCUAAUACCGCAUAACGUCGCAAGACCAAAGUGGGGGACCUUCGGGCCUCAUGCCAUCAGAUGUGCCCAGAUGGGAUUAGCUAGUAGGUGAGGUAAUGGCUCACCUAGGCGACGAUCCCUAACUGGUUCUAAAAAGAAGAACCACCCCCACUGGAAUGGAAAACACGGUCCAGACUCCUACGGGAGGCAGCAGUGGGGAAUAUUGCACAAUGGGCGCAAGCCUGAUGCAGCCAUGCCGCGUGUAUGAAGAAGGCCUUCGGGUUGUAAAGUACUUUCAGCGAGGAGGAAGGCGAUAAGGUUAAUAACCUUGUCGAUUGACGUUACUCGCAGAAGAAGCACCGGCUAACUCCGUGCCAGCAGCCGCGGUAAUACGGAGGGUGCAAGCGUUAAUCGGAAUUCCUGGGCGUAAAGCGCACGCAGGCGGUCUGUAAGUCAGAUGGUAAAUCCCCGGG
RNAcentral lists this ribosomal RNA (506 nucleotides) under uncultured bacterium. RNAcentral's name for it is "bacterial SSU rRNA". It matches the Rfam family "Bacterial small subunit ribosomal RNA", at positions 107 to 607 of the family's 1533-position model. The record is from RNAcentral.